Molecule: ribosomal RNA, 409 nt
Filed under: uncultured fungus
Lineage: Eukaryota; Fungi
Description: SSU rRNA
Rfam family: Eukaryotic small subunit ribosomal RNA
Source: RNAcentral
GGGUAACGGGGAAUAGGGUUCGAUUCCGGGAGAGGGAGCCUGAGAAACGGUACCACAUCCAAGGAAGGCAGCAGGCGCCGCAAAUUACCCAAUCCCGACACGGGGAGGGUCAGUGACAAUAAAUAACAAUAUAGGGCUCUUUCGGGUCUUAUAAUUGGAAUGAGUACAAUUUAAAUCCCUUACACGAGGAACAAUUGGAGGGCAAGUCUGGUGCCAGCAGCCGCGGUACUUCCAGCUCCAAUAGCGUAUAUUCAAAGUUGUUGCAGUUAAAAAAGCUCGUAGUUGAACCUUGGGCCUGGCUGGCCGGUCCGCCUCACCACGUGCACUGGUCCGGCCGGGCCUUUCCUUCUGGGGAGCCGCAUGCCCUUCACUUGGGUGUGUCGGGGAACCACGGACUUUUACUUUGAAC